This 73-nucleotide transfer RNA is filed under the name Cricetulus griseus (Chinese hamster). It matches the Rfam family "tRNA". Rfam says of the family: Transfer RNA (tRNA) molecules are approximately 80 nucleotides in length. Their secondary structure includes four short double-helical elements and three loops (D, anti-codon, and T loops). The record is from Rfam by way of RNAcentral. Lineage: Eukaryota; Metazoa; Chordata; Mammalia; Rodentia; Cricetidae.
AUUAGUGGGGCUCAGCAGUUAAGAGCACUACCUGCUAUUCCUGAGGAUCUGGGUUCAAUUCCCAGCACUCACA